UUAAGCAUAUCAAUAAGCGGAGGAAAAGAAACCAACCGGGAUUGCCUCAGUAACGGCGAGUGAAGCGGCAAGAGCUCAAAUUUGAAAGCUGGCCCCCUGCGGGGUCCGCAUUGUAAUUUGCAGAGGAUGCUUCGGAUCCGGCCCCUGUCUAAGUGCUCUGGAACGGGCCGUCGGAGAGGGUGAGAAUCCCGUCUGGGACGGGGAGUCCGGGUCCAUGUGAAGCUCCUUCAACGAGUCGAGUUGUUUGGGAAUGCAGCUCUAAAUGGGUGGUAAAUUUCAUCUAAAGCUAAAUACUGGCCGGAGACCGAUAGCGCACAAGUAGAGUGAUCGAAAGAUGAAAAGCACUUUGAAAAGAGAGUUAAAAAGCACGUGAAAUUGUUGAAAGGGAAGCGCUUGCGAUCAGACUCGCCUGCGGGGUUCAGCCGGCAUUCGUGCCGGUGUACUUCCCCGUGGGCGGGCCAGCGUCGGUUCGGGCGGCCGGUCAAAGGCCCUGGGAAUGUAGCGCCCUCCGGGGCGUCUUAUAGCCCAGGGUGCCAUGCGGCCUGCCCGGACCGAGGAACGCGCUUCGGCUCGGACGCUGGCGUAAUGGUCGUAAGCGACCCGUCUUGAAACACGGACCAAGGAGUCUAACAUCUACGCGAGUGUUUGGGUGGCAAACCCAUACGCGCAGUGAAAGCGAACGGAGGUGGGAGCCUUUCGGGGCGCACCAUCGACCGAUCCUGAUGUCUUCGGAUGGAUUUGAGUAAGAGCGUAGCUGUGGGGACCCGAAAGAUGGUGAACUAUGCCUGAAUAGGGCGAAGCCAGAGGAAACUCUGGUGGAGGCUCGCAGCGGUUCUGACGUGCAAAUCGAUCGUCAAAUUUGGGUAUAGGGGCGAAAGACUAAUCGAACCAUCUGGUAGCUGGUUCCUGCCGAAGU
Molecule: ribosomal RNA, 916 nt
Filed under: Monascus lunisporas
Lineage: Eukaryota; Fungi; Ascomycota; Eurotiomycetes; Eurotiales; Aspergillaceae
Description: partial large subunit ribosomal RNA
Rfam family: Eukaryotic large subunit ribosomal RNA
Source: RNAcentral